Molecule: ribosomal RNA, 533 nt
Filed under: Heterodina sp. RW04.140.1549
Lineage: Eukaryota; Metazoa; Arthropoda; Malacostraca; Isopoda; Sphaeromatidae
Description: partial 16S ribosomal RNA
Rfam family: Bacterial large subunit ribosomal RNA
Source: RNAcentral
UCGCCUGUUUAUCAAAAACAUCGCUGAUUAAUUAAAUAUUCAGUCAGAUCUGCCCAGUGAAAUUUUAACGGCCGCAGUAUCUUAACUGUGCUAAGGUAGCAUAAUCAUUAGUUCCUUAAUUAGGAACUCGUAUAAACGAUUCGACGAGAUUCUUACUUUCUUAAAAAUUUUUAAAAUUUCUUUAAAGGUAAAAAAGCCUUUAUAUUUCAGAUGGACGACAAGACCCUAUAAAACUUUACUCUAAAAAGAUCUAUCUUCUUCAGAUAAUUUUAACUUCUUCCUAGAGUUUUGCUGGGGCGGCAUUUUCUAACAAAAACAGAUUUUAACCAAACAAAUUAUUUGACUCUUACCAACACUUCAUGUACUUAAGACCAAGUUACUUUAGGGAUAACAGCGCAAUGUAUUUUUAGAGCCCUUAUCGACAAACACGUUUACGACCUCGAUGUUGAAUUGAAAUUUCUAAGUAAAGCAGAUCUUACUAAAGAAAGUCUGUUCGACUUAUAAUUUUUUACAUGAUUUGAGUUCAAACCGGA